Molecule: ribosomal RNA, 253 nt
Filed under: uncultured bacterium
Lineage: Bacteria
Description: partial 16S ribosomal RNA
Rfam family: Bacterial small subunit ribosomal RNA
Source: RNAcentral
UACGAAGGGGGCUAGCGUUGUUCGGAAUUACUGGGCGUAAAGGGCGCGUAGGCGGUGUGUCAAGUCAGGCGUGAAAGCCCCGGGCUCAACCUGGGAACCGCGCUUGAGACUGGCACACUAGAGUUCGGGAGAGGAUGGUGGAAUUCCCAGUGUAGAGGUGAAAUUCGUAGAUAUUGGGAAGAACACCGAUGGCGAAGGCAGCCAUCUGGACCGACACUGACGCUGAGGCGCGAAAGCGUGGGGAGCAAACAGG